RNAcentral lists this long non-coding RNA (574 nucleotides) under Homo sapiens (human). Its description in RNAcentral is "HSALNT0035707". The record is from RNAcentral. Lineage: Eukaryota; Metazoa; Chordata; Mammalia; Primates; Hominidae.
UAUCAGACAUUAAUGAACCAGUAAAGAAGAUACUGAGGUGCAGAAGAGCUUUCCCAGUGUCCCAGGAGCCAUUCUACACAGCAUCCUACAGAAUGACUGUGGAUCUGCUGUGCUUAGUUUCUUUACUUGUGAAAACAGAGUAAUAGUAGCACCUACCUCACAGGGUUGUUCUGAAGAUUAGAGGGGUUCUUUCAUGGGAAGUUCUAGAGCAGUGCUUGAGACAUGCCCCACCACUCUUGAGAGUAUGAGUCAACAGAAGUUUGCAGGCUAAAACCAUUCAAUAAUAUUUUCAUCAAUACUGGAAUGAUAGUAAGUAACAUUACACAACAUCAGAGGCCAAAAAUUUUUCUUUGUUGAAGCCCAAGAUUUUAACUUAUUCUUCAUUACCUGAAAAUACUGCUCAUUUAACCUCUUUAGGAAAAAAAAAAAUAUUCUGUAGAUGAAUAAUUCCUGCCUUAAUGCUUCACCCAAGACAGUUCCUUCAUACUUAUCCUCCGACGCUUUGUUCUUUUCAUCCAUUUGAUGUAGCAGGCAACAAGAAUCACCUUUCCUUUGGUGAUCUGACAUAGCGAUC